RNAcentral lists this transfer RNA (65 nucleotides) under Hygrotus nigrolineatus. Its description in RNAcentral is "tRNA-His". Lineage: Eukaryota; Metazoa; Arthropoda; Insecta; Coleoptera; Dytiscidae. The record is from RNAcentral.
AUUUAAGUAAUUUAAAAAAAAUUUUGAUUUGUGGUGUCAAAUAUGUAAUUGUAUUACCUUAGAUU